Molecule: ribosomal RNA, 508 nt
Filed under: uncultured bacterium
Lineage: Bacteria
Description: partial 16S ribosomal RNA
Rfam family: Bacterial small subunit ribosomal RNA
Source: RNAcentral
AUUGAACGCUGGCGGCAUGCCUUACACAUGCAAGUCGAACGGCAGCGGGGGAGAAGCUUGCUUUUCCUGCCGGCGAGUGGCGAACGGGUGAGUAAUACAUCGGAACGUGCCCUGUAGUGGGGGAUAACUAGUCGAAAGAUUAGCUAAUGCCGCAUACGACCUGAGGGUGAAAGUGGGGGACCGCAAGGCCUCAUGCUAUAGGAGCGGCCGAUGACUGAUUGGCUAGUUGGUGGGGUAAAGGCCUACCAAGGCGACGAUCAGUAGCUGGUCUGAGAGGACGAUCAGCCACACUGGGACUGAGACGCGGCCCAGACUCCUACGGGAGGCAGCAGUGGGGAAUUUUGGACAAUGGGCGAAAGCCUGAUCCAGCAAUGCCGCGUGUGUGAAGAAGGCCUUCGGGUUGUAAAGCACUUUUGUCCGGAAAGAAAUGGCUCUGGUUAAUACCUGGGGUCGAUGACGGUACCGGAAGAAUAAGGACCGGCUAACUACGUGCCAGCAGCCGCCGUAA